This 114-nucleotide ribosomal RNA is filed under the name ascomycete sp. OS-S58. RNAcentral describes it as "partial 5.8S ribosomal RNA". It matches the Rfam family "5.8S ribosomal RNA", at positions 1 to 113 of the family's 154-position model. Rfam says of the family: 5.8S ribosomal RNA (5.8S rRNA) is a component of the large subunit of the eukaryotic ribosome. The record is from RNAcentral. Lineage: Eukaryota; Fungi; Ascomycota.
AACUUUCAACAACGGAUCUCUUGGUUCUGGCAUCGAUGAAGAACGCAGCGAAAUGCGAUAAGUAAUGUGAAUUGCAGAAUUCAGUGAAUCAUCGAAUCUUUGAACGCGACAUUG